RNAcentral lists this transfer RNA (20 nucleotides) under Statilia maculata. RNAcentral's name for it is "partial tRNA-Asn". Lineage: Eukaryota; Metazoa; Arthropoda; Insecta; Mantodea; Mantidae. The record is from RNAcentral.
UUAAUUGAAACCAAAAUAGA